UGUCACAUAAAGGAUAGAAAUUUUUUGUAUUUAAAAUGUCUAUAUCUACUUUUAUGUAUUUAUAUAAAGUUGAAGGAGAAAAAAAGGUUGAUGCCAGCAAAAAGUCUUACCAAUGAGAUAUUUUUUUUAAAAAAAAAAAAGAAAAAGAAAAUGUAAAUCAAACUUAGACAUGGGAGGGAGUACUAAUUUUCGAAAUCAGUCCUAAUGAAUGAGUUGGGCUUGGACAAAGCCCUUAUUAUAAGUUGGGUUGGACAAACAUUUUGUGCAAGCCCAACAAUUUUUCAUGUCCAGUCAGUUAGCUUGAAUUGGGGGAACAAAAAAACAGAACAAAAAAUAUUGUUGAGCGAGUCUACCGAACCGGCUCAACUGCGGAGAAAGCCGAGUGCUGGAGUCGAGAAUUCGAGUUGAAGCGGUUUGAAAGUGUGAAUGAGCUACAACUAGCUAGUACAGCAGAUAGCAGAAAUAAGCUAAAACAAAAGAGUAGAGAAAUGGAGGACUACACUGCUCCGAAUCUCACUAAACCAGUUCGCUGCAUUGUUAAACUUGGUCCGUCUUCUUUUUUCUCUUUCAUAUUUUUCAGCUUCUGCGAUUGACCCAUGUCAUGUCUUUGCAUUUUUUAGCGAUUUACAUUAUCAUGGCUUAGUAAAAAGGAAUAUAUUGGAUCUCAUUUAAGCUGAGUUUGAUUCUUUUGAUGUUUUGGUUCACAAAAGAUUGUUACUUUCUGAUUUAAGCCUAAUUAUCAUUGUAAUAAAGUUAAUAUGCUAUCCUUAAUGGAUCCAGAGAUACAAAAUGAAUUACCUUGACAAGAAACUUCAAGAAUUGUUUGAGAAUUUGGACUUUUCUCUGUCUUUAUAUAUCAUAGUAUAUUGGAUGCAGGAGGUGCUGCAAUUACUUGCAAGAAUGAGUUAGAGAAGGUAAAUGAAGAAAAUCUUGAGGUUGUAUCCUUGCAGCUAAGGCAAGCUAUGAUUACGGGGUCUGGGUCCCAAAAAGUUAUUGGGUUUGAUUGGAGCAAGAAACCUGGAGAUCCUGAAAUUUCCUGUGAUGUGGAUAAUUUUGAAGACCAAACCUUGUUGGAUUCUAGCAGUUUUGUUGUUGUUCAUGGAGCAGGUAUUUUCGACAGUUGUUUCUUGAAUCAUUAUUGAAUAAGCAUGAACUGUUUCAUUGCUUUAGUCUUUUAAUUUUUAAGUGAUCUUCACACCUCUAGUUUGCUAAAGACGUGGUUGAAUUUAUCUUCUGUGUUAUUGGCCUCAGGUUCUUUUGGGCAUUUUCAGGCUAGCAAAUCGGGGGUUCAUAAGGGAGGAUUGGACCAACCACUUGUCAGGGCUGGUUUUGUUGCUACACGCAUCUCAGUAAGAUUUACUUGGAUACUAUAUGUUCUUUUUCUGUUUUUAUUUUCUCAUGAUAUUUCAGCGAGUAUUCUGAAGUGCAAAUCUUUAUGUGCUAAGCUGUUAUGAAGCCAAGUGCUGUUAUGAAUCCAAGUGCAUAGGUGGUGUUGUUACAAUUGAAAAUGUUUGAUAUGUUUAUGGCGCUUCAGUGUCCUGUUGUUAAUGAACCAUGUCCAAGUUUUGUACAAUUAUUGAUUUGUUUUACACCAUAGGUACUAUAAAUGUGGAAACUUAGUUUGGGCAGAAAAGUUGUUAAAUACUCCUUUAAAGUUUUUGGAAUGGAUGCCAAGCUUAAAGGUGGCCCUUGUUUGUAACUGCUGUUAUCUGUUAAAAAUUCCCACUGAGUCUGGGAUGUUCAUCCAUAUGAUAUAUUAAUGUAAUUGCCACAACAAAAUCCAUAGGGAAUUACAUUUUCUUUAACGUCUAAGCGUCACUUUCUCAAAUACAUAGAAAAUUUCAUAACCUAUUUCAAGCUUUGGCAUACUGAAGGUGCUAAAAUGACAAAAAGUUUAUUCUGAUUUUUUGGAAGAUUUAUUUAGUAUUUUCUUUGUUUCAUCUAGAAAAACUUUCACCUUUAAAUUGUCACUAUGUUAUUCUUACAUUUCACUGACAGAAGCAUGGUAAAUAUCAAGGAUCUGUGUGUCAAACUUGGAAUGGGCUAGUGGUUACCAAAAUUUGUAUUUUAAGGUUUUAAUGUUACUUUUGAAGCUUUAUAUGACUCCUUUUGAGAUCAUGAGCAAAAAUUAGCUUGACAAAAAGUGAUGUCAAUUGUCAGUGUACUCUUGACCAGAUUUAUUGGAUGAUUUCUAAGGGAAAUGUGAAUCUAAUUUUCUACCUCUUCAUAAUUGAUUGGGGUAUAAAAUAUUCUCUCAUAUCCAUCAAGUUUCUAUGCUACUUAUGCUAAAUUUUCUAUGGAAAUUUGGGUUUGGUCUCAGACAGAUCAUUUCAUGGAAUAUUUUUUAUCUCCCAUUUUUAUCGACUAUUUGUUUAUAUAUCUUUUAUUUUUAUUUGUUUCAGGUUACAACUCUGAAUCUUGAAAUUGUUCGAGUGCUAGCUAGAGGUAAUAGUAAUAAAAAGGUUAUUUUUAUACAUGCUUUUUUUAUCUGUUCUUUCCUAGACAAGAAUAGUCUUUAUAUUUUCACUAUUGAAAGUGUAACAAAUGCUGGACAACCUUUUAGUUAUUUACGAAAGCUUUUUGCUCUUGCAAUCUGCAUUUCAUGCUUGAACAGCCUGAUAGAAGGGUUCGGUGAAAUUGCCAUAGGCUCUAGUGGGCAUUUAUGCAAUAACAAAUGUGUUUCUAUGUUUAAGAUUAACGUAAAAACAAAUUGUCGCUAUCUAUAUUUUCCUGGUAGAUUUUAAAAUAUCUUGUAAAAGAGUGUGUUUCAUGAUUAUUUAUAGUACAAUGAAUUAUAUUUUUUUUUGAGAACUUAUGUUGGCUGGAGAGUUGAAAAUGUCAAUUAUGAUUUGAUACCACAUUUGCUUCUGCAAAAAGUAGCUUGUUAUGCUGGCAUAAACCAUAAAACCAAUUGCCUAAAAUGAUCUAAAUAAUUAAAAUAACUCUAUAAAAAAUUUUCAGGAUUUCUUUCUAAAAUAGGUGUAACUAAAAUCUUUGAGAAAUGAUUUUGCAAGGAGGGAGGAAGUGAAUUUUGUACAAAAAUACGAUAUUGGCAUGAGCCUAGUGCACACUUCUCUUUAAGGGUUGUAUUUUGGGUUUUCUAUGUAUCGUUAUGAAAAGGUUGCAAGAAGGGAGGAAAACUAACGGAUUGUAUAGUGAUUGUAUGUUUCUUGUAUCAUGUGAAAAAUGAUGAAGAUGAAUCUAUAUGCUACUGUGAACCAAAUAAAAUUAUUUGUUUCUUGAUUAUAUCACUUUGUCCAUUAUGUAGUUUCAAUUGGAAUACUAGUUUUAACACAAGAUACAUUAAAUGUCAACUGCUUUGAGUUGGAAAUUUUCAUCUUUUUUGUUUCAUUCUCUGAUGUUUCUUUAUGUAACAUAUUAUGAGCAUUGAAAUUGGUUUCAUGGAGUUUUGAAAUUGAGAAUAGACUUGAUUAGCCUGCAAAUUUCUUUCCAUUGAAUACUUUGUAGCUUCUCAGUAGCCAUAUCUGUUUCUAUACUUUGUUCGGGAUGUGCACUGCAUCACUUUAACAAGUUCUUUUUCUCACAGUGGGCAUUCAUUCCAUUGGAAUGUCUCCAUUUUCAUGUGGAUGGUCAACUUCAGAAAGAAAUGUCAGAGGCAUUGCAAAAGAGUGUAUUCAUUAUCUUAUUUGCAUCAAAUAUGGGUCCUUUUUGUUUUAAUCAUAUUAGUGAUUUAGUAUAAUUCUCAACCUUCUAAGCUUGACCUUUUUCCCCCCCCUCAGAUAGCAUCGGCAGAUUUGUCAAUGGUUGCUAAGGCAAUUGAUUCUGGAUUUGUACCUGUAAGAUAUAAUUCUUCUACUUCUACUGGUUCAUAGAUGCUUUAAAAUCUUAUAAGCUUUUCAUUAUCCUAUAUAUUUUCAGUUGCAUGGAUCAUAAUUACUUGUAAAUGAAGCAUUGUCUCUGUAUUAUGCUCUUGUCAAGUCAUAGAUGUCUUUGAUGUCAACUAUAAAACUGUGGCUUCAAAAUUGUUCACAAUGACUCAUAUGGUUCGUCAACAAAAAAGGAAAACCUAAUCAUGUAACUUUGCAAAUACAAAAGGAGGGUUAGACAUCCCAGGCCUGAGGAGAUGCAAUGAAGUCUGCCCUUGCAAGAAAUUUCUGGAUGCUUGUGUCCGGCCCCAGUUCCAUAUGCACCAAAUGGAUCUGAGCCAGGUAUAUCAAAUCCAAUUAGAUAUGGGGCUAUUCUCCUUCAUCUGGCUGCUCUCCUACGUGUAAGAACACAUCAAACUGACCCAAAGCAAAACAUACUUUUUACAUGUCAUUGUGAAUAAUCAGCCAAUGAGUUUGAGAUGACGAGCAGCCUUUACCUGUUAUGAUAGUGCCAAAAUAGGGUCUUAAGAGAUGUAACCUAAACGUCCUAUGCUUAACAUUUUUCCAAAAAAUAUGUUGAUCAAAAGGUAUAGCUAUUGUAUAUAGACAGGACGUUCUGAACUUGCAGUCACUAAAGCUUAAUGUACAGACAACUUUAACAUUUCAGUUUCCACAUAGCUGUACCAAUAUGGUAAUUUCAUAUGACCUUUUUUGGAUGUCCAAUGGUUCUAGAGGUUAGGGAUGGCAAUGGGUAGGGUUCGGGUUGGGUAGUGCAAUCCCCAUACCCAAACCCUAUCCCUAUCCCCAUACCCUACCCAAUACCCUAUCGGGUAGAGAAUGUUAUACCCAUGCCUAAACCCAAUGGGGUUCGGGUUACCAUGGGUAUCUAUUGCCCACAAAUACCUAUUUACUCAUAUAUUCAAAUUGUGUAAAAAAUUAGAUUAUAUUGAAUCAAUAAAUAAAAGAAUUAAAAAAAAUAAAAGUAUCUUUCCAUUAAAAAUAUGAAAAUAAAUUAAUAAAUAAAUAAAUGUUCAAAAAAUGAUAAAUUAAAAUUUUAAUUACAAAAUUGCGCUUUUUAUCAUAAUGCUUGCUCUUCUUAUCAUAAUGUGUCACUCAAGGGCAAUAGUAGUAGACUCUUCAACUGAUAAAUUAACGAAGACGAUGAUGACUUGACACCACUUGCUUUGAAAUAUUUGAUAAAAUGACUCUCUAUUGUAACUAUUACUUGUGUUAAAGCUUUUAAUAAAAUGUUUUGUUUUUGUGAGAAAGAAGAAAACAAGAGAGACUCUAACCAAUAAUAAUUUUUCAAUUUCUCAUGCUAACUAAUAGUCAUUUCAAUCUACAAUAAAUAAUAUAUAUAGACUGAGAUAUAAAAUUAAAAAUAAGAUAUUUAUUUAAAUGAAAUAUUAAAUAUUGAACUUUAAAUUUUAAAAUCCUAAAACUUAAAAAAUUUGAAAAUUUCAAAUUGUUUAAAUAAAUUUAAAUUAUUCAAAUUAAUUUAAACUAUUCACAUUAUUGAAAUUAAUUUAAAUUAUUCAAAUUAACUCAAAUUUAUUCAAAUUACAAUUAUUUUACUUUAUUAAAUAUUUCAUACUACAAUUUAAAGAAAAUAAUUAAUUUUCAAACCUUUUAGGGUUUGGGUAUCGGGUUCGGAUAUUACCCGACCCAAAAGUUCAGAUUGGGUUUGGGAUCAGGUUUGAGUUUAUAAUAACGAUACUCAUACCCUACCUAUACCCAAAACGAAACUUUCCGAUUUUACCCAAACCCAAUCAAAACCCUAAAAAUCGGGUUUGACUGGGUUCGGGUUGGGUGCAUACCCAUCGGGUCGGGCUGAUUUUGCCAUCCCUACUAGAGGUCAACUGAAAUUAUGAAUAAAAGAAUUCACUAUUUUAGGUCAAUAUCUUGGGUUAACAAAGCCUUGAUGCCAUUUGUUUUGGCUGCCUACAGAUUUCAAGAGCUUGUGGUCUAUAAUGAAAUUUGAUAUUAUGGCAUGAGAUAUUUACUUUGCAAUGCAGCUACAAGGUUCAAAGGUCUAGUUUCAAUUGAGGUGAUAAACUGCCUCUUGGACUUCCAAUGAGAUAUAUUAAACUGUAGCUGUAGGCAUGUGUGCCUUUGGGUGAUAAACCAUUUGCUUGUUGGCAUAGAGCCAUUGCUAAGACGACCUUUUAUCAUGAAUCUCUUGUUAUUGAAUUUACUCAAGUUAAGGAGACAUGGUUUCUUUUUCUAUUUGAUAUCUCAAUCAAGCUUUAUUUUUCUCUUUUUCUCUUUUUCUAACUUUUGGUUGAAAAUGCCGCGUUAUCAUAUAUUUUUAUUUGCUUUCUAGGUUCUACAUGGAGAUGCUGUACUUGAUGAGUUACAGGUUUGGUUUCUCCAACAAUAGAUGUGGCAUUGCGAUUAUAGAGUUGGAAUUGACAUGCAUUUAUGUUGCUUAUGUAAUCAGGGAUGCACCAUAUUGAGUGGUGAUGUCAUUAUACGUCAUCUUGCAGCCUACUUGAAACCGGAAUAUGUGGUGUUCCUUGUAUCCUUUUUCCAUGAUAUGUUCUUCAUAUGCUUCCAUAUCUUGGACAAUCCUCUGUAAAUCAGUUUCUUAAAUCUUCAUAUUUUUAUGCACAAUCAGUCUUGGAUUAACGGUCAUUUUGAUACUUACCAUAUAUCAUUUGUUGACGAGAAAAAAAGUUAUUUGCUUGUUAUCCAAUUAACAUAGAUCAAAGACAGAUGUUUUGGGUGUGUAUGACCGUCCACCUUCAGAGCCAGAUGCAAUUCUCUUGAGGGAGAUCGGCAAGUACUCAUAUUUUCAACCUAGAUGUUGCUUGUGAAUCUUUCAAAUUGAAUGCAUGCAAAUAACCAAUUUUCAUUUUCAAAUCAUGACAGCGGUUAAUGAGGAUGGAAGCUGGUCUGUUGUGAAGCCAACACUCCAGAAUGCAAAUGAACAAGGUUUGUGAAAAUAACUAGGUUCUGAUGUUGCAAGAUAGCGAUGGCUAAUUCUGAUAUACAUGCUUGCUUGCAUGUGCGCUUGCUGUGUGGAGUGUUUUCAACCUUCUUUUUACCUGCAUUUGUGCUACCCGCGUCCAGUGAAUUCUCAUAUCAAGCAUCCAUUUAGCAGUAUAUUGUUGUAAAAAUGAUGGUUUAGAGCCAUAGUUUAGUAUUAGGACAAAUUCCUUUUUUCAUUCCCCACCUUGUUGAUAAAAGUUCGAAAUAAGUUUUCCAGUUCUUGUCAACAGUUGAAAUAACUGUAGCAGCCCAUGAUACGACUGGGGGGAUGGUGACUAAGAUAUCAGAGGCUGCAUUGAUUGCAAAACUUGGAAUUGAUGUCUACAUUGUUAAGGUAAUAACUAUAGCCACAUUUUGUUCUCAUUCAUUUACGACUUAUUUUCUGUGUCUUUCUUAUCUCCAACUGCACCAUGUUUGUGCAAUUAACAUUAAGAAUCUUUUGCGGUAAAUACAGGCAGCAACAAGCCACUCAUUGAGGGCCUUGAGUGGAGAAGUGAGAGGCACCAUUCCUGAUGAUUGGUUUGGGACCGUACUCAGAUUCGUUGACAAAGGAAUUGAUUGUAGUUGAUGAAUUUGGGAGUAUUCAAUAUUUCAGUAAAGCCUCAAAGAAAACAGGUACUGGAGAUUUCAAACAAAAUGCCUGUGAGCGUGCAAGACCUUGUCUGCUACAUUUAUUUGAAUCGUUUUUCAAAAUAAUUAUCUGCAACUCUUGAUUCAUCUGAAACGCAAAAUUGUCAAGUUGACAUCAAUUGUUGAUUAACUGUGUUCAGUGCUUUUAUGAGAACAUGUACGAGAACAUGCAAAAAUUCUGUGGGCAUUCAAACGUUAAUUAGAAUGAAAGCAAAUGGUAGGUCUAAUUUUCAAAAAAUGUAACAAAGAUUACAAUGGACAGUUACGCAAGCAUAGACAAGCAGCGAGAACCAAAAGCAAGCUGAGAUUCGCGGAAGCUAAAGCCAAAACGAAAAUUCUGCAAAACUACAAGCUAUAUAAAUAUGCAUAAUUAUUUCUUCCCAACACAUUUUUUCCAUAACAGAAUUAUAAAUAAAUAGUCUACACAAGGUUAUCCGAGAAUAACAAGGGAUUUAACAAAAAAAAAAAAAAAAAAUGAAAACUAUGGGGAAUGAAACUGUAAAUAGUUUUGAAACAUCCAAAGGUGUUUAGAAGCAUACUCUAACCAGUAGAUUCAACUUCUUCACACCAAGUACAAAAAU
RNAcentral lists this long non-coding RNA (8029 nucleotides) under Jatropha curcas. RNAcentral describes it as "long non-coding RNA (JCUR_LNC000858)". The record is from RNAcentral. Lineage: Eukaryota; Viridiplantae; Streptophyta; Magnoliopsida; Malpighiales; Euphorbiaceae.